UUUUUUCUUUUAGCUCAGAAUAAUUAUAAUCUUUCUGUUACUCCAUUAGUUUACAAAUUUGAAUAAUUAUAAUCUUUAUGCAACUAAAAAUAUAUUUGGAGUGAUUCUUUUUCCUGCUAUUUAAUAUUACUGCGUUUUAUUAUUAUAUUGAAAAACAUAUUUUGUUAUUUUAGUUUCUAUCAAAAAAAUCUUUAUGACAAUUCUUUUUGCUUCUAAAGUUUCUAACAAAAAAAAUCUUUAUGACAAUUCUUUUUGCUACUUUGAUAAUUUUAGUUGCAUAAAUUUUAUAUAAUUUUAGUUUAAAAAAUACUAGAGGUUUAUAAAAGAUUUUUAGUUGAUUCCUUUUGCUAUUAGAGUUUUAUAAAAGCAUUUACUAGUGUGGUAUCAUCAUUUCAUCCACAUAGCAUGUGCAAGAAAGUUGAGAAGGUUACCGCAAAAAACUGGAUGCAUUUCAUGUACAAAACGGACAAUCUCUUCGAAGUAUCAGGAUUUCAUACGGAAACUUGUCUGUUACAACAGGCAUUUCAAAUGAACUACGAAAAGGUUGAAAGUUGGCAUGGUAUCAUCAUAAUAGUUGUGGAGAAAGUCUUCAUUUUUUCUUUGCUUGUGUCCUUUCCUUAUUGCGCUGUAACCAUGGAUAAUCUUCAUCAUUUAUCAGGAUGCUUGGGUCAGCCUUGACUUUGAAGGGAGGAAUUUCAUGAAACUUUUCAUAAUCUUCAGACAUGUCUGUCUUGCCCUCCACUCCCACGAUGUCCCUUUUUCCUGAAAGAACUAUGUGGCACUUUGGCUCAUCUUAUGAUGUAUUCGCUUCCUUAUUUUUUCUUUUUCUUGGUUUGGUAGACAUGUCCUUCACAUAGAUAACCUAUGCCACAUCAUUGGCUAGGACGAACGGUUCGUUAGUGUACCCAAGAUUGUUUAGAUCCACUGUUGUCAUUCUGUACUAUGGGUCUACCUGUACCCCGCCUCCUGACAGAUUGACCCAGUUGCAUUUAAACAAAGGGACCUUAAAAUCUACUCCAUAGUCAACUUCCCAUAUGUCCACUAUGUAACCAUAGUAUGUGUCCUUUCCCCUCUCGGUUGCUGCGUCAAAGCGGACACCGCUGUUUUGGUUGGUGCUCUUUUGAUCUUGGGCGAUCCUGUAAAAUGUAUUCCCAUUUAUCUCGUAUCCUUUGUCAGUCAAUAUAGUCGAAGAUGGUCCCCUGGACAACGAGUACAGCUCAGCACAAACAGUGUUCUCACCUCUGAGACGUGUUUCCAACCAACUGCUGAAAGUCCUGAUGUGUUCACUUGUAAUCCAGUCGUCACACCGCUCCGGGUAUUUGGAGCGCAGACUGUUCUUGUGUUCAUCGACAUACAGGGUCACCAAGGUAGAGUUCAUUAGUACUGUGUAGUGUGCUUGAGACCAAGAAUAUCCGUCCCUGCAUAUUAUUGAGUCCCCUCCAAGCGUGCCUUUUCCAGUCAUUCUCCCCUCAUAUCGCGAUUCUGGGAGACCUAUCUUCUUAAGGCCGGGAAUGAAGUCAACACAAAAUUCAAUGACAUCCUCUGUUUGAUGGCCCAUGGAGAUGCUUCCUUCUGGCCUAGUGCAGUUAUGGACAUAUUUCUUUAGGACUCCCAUGAACCUCUCAAAGGGGUACAUAUUGUGUAGAAAUACGGGGCCCAGAAUGACAAUCUCGUCAACUAGAUGAACUAGGACGUGCGUCAUGAUAUUGAAGAAGGAUUGUGGGAACACCAGCUCGAAACUGGCAAGACAUUGCACCAGAUCACUCCUUAGCCUUGGUAUGAUUUCUGGAUCGAUCACCUUCUGAGAGAUUGCAUUGAGGAAUGCACAUAGCUUCACAAUGGCUAAUCGGACGUUUUCCGGUAGAAGGCCCCUCAAUGCAACCGGAAACAGUUGCUUCAUAAUCACGUGGCAGUCAUGAGACUUUAAGUUCUGAAACUUUUUCUCUGCCAUAUUUAUUAUUCACUUUAUAUUCGACGAGAAGCCAGUCGGGACCUUCAUACUAAGCAGACAUUCAAAGAAGAUUUCCUUCUCUUCUUUGGUAAGAGCGUAGUUGGCAGGACCUUCAUACUGCUUUGGAGGCAUGCCGUCUUUUUCGUGCAAACAUUGUAGGUCCUCCCGUGCCUCAGCUGUAUCUUUUGUCUUCCCAUACACGUCCAAGAAGCCUAGCAGGUUCACGCAAAGGUUCUUCGUCACGUGCAUCACGUCGAUCGAAGAGCGGACCUCUAGGUCUUUCCAGUAGGGUAGGUCCCAAAAUAUAGAUUUCUUCUUCCACAUGGAUGCGUGUCCCUCAGCGUCACUUGGAACAGCUAGUCCGUUGUGACCCUUUCCAAAGAUUACGUGUAAAUCAUUGACCAUAGCAAGUACGUAAUCACCGGUACGCAUGGCGGGCUUCUUCCGGUGAUCUGCCUCGCCUUUGAAAUGCUUGCCUUUCUUUUGACAUUGAUGGUUGGUCGGAAGAAAUCGAUGAUGGCCCAGGUACACAUUCUUCCUGCAACUUCCCAGGUAUAUACUUUCGGUGUCAGCUAAAUAGUGCGUGCAUGCGUGGUAUCCCUUGUUUGUCUGUCCUGAAAGGUUACUAAGAGUGGGCCAAUCGUUGAUGGUUACAAACAGCAACGUGUGCAGGUUAAAUUCCUCCUAUCUAUGCUCAUCCCACACACGUACACCGUUUCCAUUCCACAGCUGUAAAAGUUCUUCAACUAAUGGCCUUAGGUACACAUCCAUGUCGUUGUCGGGUUGCUUAGGGCCUUGGAUGAGAACUGGCAUCAUAAUGAACUUCCGCUUCAUGCACAUCCAAGGAGGAAGCUUAUACAUACAUAGAGUCACGGGCCAGGUGCUGUGAUUGCUUCUCUGCUCCCCGAAAAGAUUAAUUCCAUCCGCGCUUAAACCAAACCAUCCGUUCCUUGGGUCAUGUGCAAACUCAGCCCAGUACUCUCUCUCGAUUUUUCUCCACUGCGACCCAUCAGCGGGUGCUCUCAACUUCCCAUCUUUCUUACGGUCCUCACUGUGCAUCGCAUCAACUUGGCAUGCUCUUUGUUUCUGAACAGUCGUUUCAACCGUGGUAUUAUAGGAGCAUACCACAUCACCUUCGCAGGAACUCUCUACCUGCGGGGCUCGCCGUCAACAUCACCAGGGUCAUCUCGUCUGAUCUUAUACCGCAAUGCACCGCAUACCGGGCAUGUGUUUAAAUCCUCGUACGCACCGCGGUAGAGGAUGCAGUCACUAGGUCAUGCAUGUAUCUUCUGCACCUCCAAUCCUAGAGGGCAUACGACCUUCUUUGCUGCAUACGUACUGUCGGGCAAUUCAUUAUCCUUUGGAAGCUUCUUCUUUAAUAUUUUCAGUAGCUUCUCAAAUCCUUUGUCAGGCACAGCAUUCUCUGCCUUCCACUGCAGCAAUUCCAGUACGGUACCCAGCUUUGUGUUGCCAUCUUUGCACUUGGGGUACAACCCUUUUUUGUGAUCCUCUAACAUGCGAUCGAACUUCAGCUUCUCCUUUUGACUUUCGCGUUGCGUCCUUGCAUCGAAAAUGACCGGGCGGAGAUCAUCAUCGGGCACAUCGUCUGGUUGCUCUUGAUCUUCAGCAGCUUCCCCCAUUGCAGCAUCAUCGGGCACAUCGUCUAGUUCCUCUUGAUCUUCAGCAGCUCCCCCGUUGCAGCAUCACCGUAUUCAGGGGGCACAUAGUUUUCAUCGUCCUCUUCUUCUUCGUCGUCUUCCAUCAUAACCCCUAUUUCUCCGUGCCUCGUCCAAACAUUAUAGUGUGGCAUGAAACCCUUGUAAAGCAGGUGGGUGUGAAGGAUUUUCCGGUCAGAGUAAGACUUCGUAUCCCACAUUUAGUGCAUGGACAACACAUAAAACCAUUCUGCUUGUUUGCCUCAGCCACUUUGAGAAAAUUAUGCACGCCCUUAAUGUACUCGGAGGUGUGUCUGUCAUCAUACAUCCAUUGCCGGUUCAUCUGCGUGCAUUAUAUAUAAUUAUGUGUGUCAAAAGUAAGAAAAUCAGACAAGUAUCAGAAAGAAGAUAAGAACAAGAGGCUCACCACGGUGGUGCCGGCGACGAGAUCGGCGCGGGCGAUCAACGGCGGUGAAAACGGGGAUGGGGCGUGACGAACCACUAAAUGUAGACAAAUCUCAAAAAAAUGGAGCUGCGAGGUCGAGCUUCGAGAGGAGAAAGCUUAACUAGUGUGUCUCGGGCAUUUCAUCGAACACCUCAUGUGCAUAGGAGGUGAACUAGAGCACUCAAAUGCCCUCUCCUCGCCGGAUUGAAAAAACAGAGCAUCGGAGUGCUCUGCCGCGGCGGUGGGAUAUAUAUAGGCAAGUUAUUUGUCCCGGUUCGUGGCAUGAACCGGGACUAAAGCCCCCCCCCUUCUGUCCCGGUUCAAACCACGAACCGGGACCUAUGAUUGUGGGCCAGGAGCGAGGACCAUUGGUCCCGGUUCGUGGCUUGAACCGGGACAAAUGGUUCCACACGAACCGGGACCAAUGCCCACGAGGCCCCGGCCGUCCCCCUGGGCUCACGAACCGGGUCUAAUACCCCCCAUGGGUCCCGGUUCUUGAAGAACCGGGACUAAUGGGCUGGCUGGGCCCGAACGUUAGCCCUGUUUUCUACUAGUGACACCUUUAUCCUACGAACAACAAUAGAUAAAUUGUAGACCCAGGGAGCAUUACAAAAAUAUAAGAACAUUCUAGGUCCGGCUGCCGCAUACAGUUGUUUCACAGACAAGCAGCAAACAAAUGUAAACAUGUUUCUUGCCUAGAAGAGGGCGUUGCAAAAUUACAAGGCUUAUGGAGAACAAUGAGGCACGUCAUAUAAUCAUAGUUUCAGUUGCAAGGCUCAAUAUAUAGAAGUAGGAAAAAGGUUGGGCCCACAUUCUCUACUGCAGAAAUUAAGAACCACAUUGCAUACAAGAUAGCAUCAAGCUAAACAGUGAUUGGGUACAUAUUAUGUCCUAAUUAAGAUAGCUAACAGUAAUCCCAUCACAGAAGAUAACACCAAAAACAAGUCAAGGCCUCCUUUGGCGGCACCGAGGGGUGAGGGAAGGGAGAGCCGGCGGCUAGGAUUUCGUCGUCUCCCGUGUCACCCCGAGCGGAGUGACGCGGAGGCAGAGCCUUCUAUUCCUCUCUCUCUUAGUUUCCCCUCAUUGAUUGUUUUUUCUUUUACUUUUGAAUAUUUAUGGACUUCCAUUUAAAAAAAUGAUCAUGUAGGAGACAUAUGGUGAUGAUGUUGCCUGCAUGUAGGCACCAAUGUUAGCCAAAACUACUCUGAUGGCCUAAAAGUACAAGGCAUUGAGAUUUAAACUAGGAUGGUAGGCAUGAAAACAUUACAUCAGAAUACAAGAAGAAUUAAUGCAACAUAUUUUUGACUGAAAAUUAAUGCAACAUAUUUAACUUUGAGUUCUUUAUGCCAUGCUAUCAGCUAAAACCCAGAUAUCAAAUGUGGGCCCAGCCACCUUGAACAAAUCUUCCUUGUGGGUCCCUCUGAAACAGAAAAUUAGGAAGUAUAAGUUUUGUUGAAUUUUCAUUCAUUUGAAAUGUUUAUGUACAUGCCUUUUACAGUUGUCUUAAAAAGAUGCAUUUUUAUUAAAAGAUCAUGGCACCCAGAUUUGUAUGAACUAUUUUUCCAAGUUUAGUUUCCCUUUUAUGUAGUACUACUACAAGUAUGACAUGCACCAGAAUCAAGAAAAAUGGAC
This 5683-nucleotide long non-coding RNA is filed under the name Triticum aestivum (bread wheat). Its description in RNAcentral is "long non-coding RNA (TAES_LNC027997)". Lineage: Eukaryota; Viridiplantae; Streptophyta; Magnoliopsida; Poales; Poaceae. The record is from RNAcentral.